Long non-coding RNA from Photinus pyralis (common eastern firefly), 770 nucleotides. RefSeq lists it as uncharacterized. The record is from RefSeq and is a predicted model, not a curated record. The transcript has 2 exons. Lineage: Eukaryota; Metazoa; Arthropoda; Insecta; Coleoptera; Lampyridae.
CAUUUUUAUAAUUUUAAGUACCACACCACAACUAAAAUACCUAUCUAGGUACCUAAUUUAAUUAAUUGUAAUUCACUAAGAGUCAAACAAAAAUACUGCGCGAUGGUGACGACCGUCACAGCCUCAGAGUAAGAAAUUUCUUACUUUGAGGCCACAGCGGUGACAUCUGCGAGAUUGCACAGUGUAGCCGACGCGGCGGGCAAGAUUACCAAUGUUGCCAAUGCUUGCAUGUACUUCAGUUUUUUUCAGUGAAUUUAUUUUGUUUCUUUUAUUUUAUGUGGUGCUGAAUCGUUUUAUAGCGUCAGAUCUGGAUACCUCGUAUUAACAUUUUAUUUGGAUUGUGGACAUAUAGACACAAUUCUCUUAUUUGUGAAGUGUUUUUUGUUAUAUUGUAAUAGUCGCUGUUUUUUAAGAACGACAAAUUGAUUGAGAUCGUGCGAUAGAGCAUUGGAUAAAAAAUUGCAUUUCAUUCAAUGGUUAGAGUAUAAACCACAAAGGUGGUAGGUAGAACCCCAAGGUUGGACGAGUGGUCGUCAUAAUGUCGUGUAAAUGUCGAAACAUCGUCGUUUCGCUAUUAGUGUAACAGAAAAGUAAGGAGAGCUUUUCAGCGUAUUUCCAUCUUGACGAGCAGGCUUGCUUGGGGAAAGUGUCUGCAAUUAAUAUUCCAAUGGAAAAUAGUGGCGUAAAAUUUAAUUUAGCGAGUUCCCAACACAUUUACCUGUAGCAUCACAGCAUGUAGAAUACAAAAAAUAAACGGAAAUAAGUAUAAA